RNAcentral lists this transfer RNA (98 nucleotides) under Filifactor alocis ATCC 35896. RNAcentral describes it as "tRNA-Phe (AAA) (tRNA-Phe-AAA-1-1)". The record is from RNAcentral. Lineage: Bacteria; Bacillati; Bacillota; Clostridia; Peptostreptococcales; Filifactoraceae.
GGAAGUAGUGAAACUUUAGCUUGUUAUUUGGGCGAUUGCGACACGAAUUUCAAAAGAAUUGGUUUCGGACAUGGGUUCGACUCCCAUCGUCUCCACCA